GCGAAACCUCUGCAAUAGGCGAAAGCCUGACAGGGUUACUCUGAGUGACUUUCGCUAAGAAAGUCUUUUGGCACCUCUAAAAAGGGUGCAGAAUAAGGGGUGGGCAAGUCUGGUGUCAGCCGCCGCGGUAAUACCAGCACCCCGAGUGGUCGGGACGAUUAUUGGGCCUAAAGCAUCCGUAGCUGGUUCUGCAAGUCCCCCGUUAAAUCCAGCUGCUCAACAGAUGGGCCGCGGAGGAUACUACAGAGCUAGGAGGCAGGAGAGGCAAGCGGUACUCAGUGGGUAGGGGUAAAAUCCGUUGAUCCAUUGAAGACCACCAGUGGCGAAGGCGGCUUGCCAGAAUGCGCUCGACGGUGAGGGAUGAAAGCUGGGGGAGCAAACCGGAUUAGAUACCCGGGUAGUCCCAGCCGUAAACGAUGCAGACUCGGUGAUGGGUUGGCUUCGCGCUAACCCAGUGCCGCAGGGAAGCCGUUAAGUCUGCCGCCUGGGUAGUACGGUCGCAAGACUGAAACU
Molecule: ribosomal RNA, 513 nt
Filed under: uncultured archaeon
Lineage: Archaea
Description: bacterial SSU rRNA
Rfam family: Archaeal small subunit ribosomal RNA
Source: RNAcentral